GGGAAGGUUCGUCCGCCCUGGGUUAGUCGGGACCUAAGCUGAGGCCGAAAGGCGUAGGUGAUGGACAACAGGUUGAUAUUCCUGUACUACCGAUAACCGUUUGAGAGAAGGGAUGACACAGUAGGAUAAGCUAAGCACACUGUUGGUUAUGUGUGCCCAAGCAUUGAGGCAGUCAAAGUAGGCAAAUCCGCUUUGAUAAUGCUGGGAUGUGAUGGGGAGCGAAAUUUAGUAGCGAAGUAGCUGAUUUCACACUGUCAAGAAAAGUCUCUAUCGAGGUUAAAGGUACCCGUACCGCAAACCGACACAGGUGGGUGAGGAGAGUAUCCUAAGGCCAGCGAGAGAACUGUUGUUAAGGAACUCGGCAAAAUGACCCCGUAACUUAGGAUAAGGGGUGCCACCAUCAGGUGGCCGCAGAGAAUAGGCCCAAGCGACUGUUUACCAAAAACAUAGGUUUCUGCUAAGUCGCAAGACGAUGUAUAGGAGCUGACGCCUGCCCGGUGCUGGAAGGUUAAGGGGAUCUGUUAGAGCAAUCGAAGCAGUGAACUUAAGCCCCAGUAAACGGCGGCCGUAACUAUAACGGUCCUAAGGUAGCGAAAUUCCU
Molecule: ribosomal RNA, 601 nt
Filed under: Clostridioides difficile
Lineage: Bacteria; Bacillati; Bacillota; Clostridia; Peptostreptococcales; Peptostreptococcaceae
Description: bacterial LSU rRNA
Rfam family: Bacterial large subunit ribosomal RNA
Source: RNAcentral